UAUUAAAAAUUUCAUCCAUUUUUAUUGUUAGAAACUGGCUUGAUUGAUAGAAUAACCAAACAUUCAUAUGUGGCAAUGUGUACCUCAUUCUGACGUAUAGGGAUCAGUUUUUAACAAUAGAAAUGGAUGGAAUUUUUAAUA
Non-coding RNA from Gossypium hirsutum (cotton), 141 nucleotides. The record is from Rfam. Lineage: Eukaryota; Viridiplantae; Streptophyta; Magnoliopsida; Malvales; Malvaceae.